Molecule: ribosomal RNA, 543 nt
Filed under: uncultured bacterium
Lineage: Bacteria
Description: bacterial SSU rRNA
Rfam family: Bacterial small subunit ribosomal RNA
Source: RNAcentral
AGAGUUUGAUCAUGGCUCAGAACGAACGCUGGCGGCGUGCCUAAUACAUGCAAGUCGUACGAGAAAGUCCUGGCAACGGGACGAGUAAAGUGGCGAACGGGUGAGUAACACGUGGAUAAUCUUCCCCUCAAUCUGGGAUAAGCCGCCGAAAGGCGGUCUAAUACCGGAUGACACCACCGGGUGGCAUCACUUGGUGGUCAAAGGCGGGGCAACCUGCCGUUGAAGGAUGAGUCCGCGUCCCAUUAGCUUGUUGGCGAGGUAAAAGCUCACCAAGGCGACGAUGGGUAGCCGACCUGAGAGGGUGACCGGCCACACUGGGACUGAGAUACGGCCCAGACUCCUACGGGAGGCAGCAGUAGGGAAUUUUGCGCAAUGGGCGAAAGCCUGACGCAGCGACGCCGCGUGGGUGAUGAAGCUCUUCGGAGUGUAAAACCCUGUCAGUGGGGAAGAACCGUACCGGGAGUAACUGCCCGAUACUUGACGGUACCCACAGAGGAAGUCCCGGCUAACUCCGUGCCAGCAGCCGCGGUAAUACGGGGGGGA